RNAcentral lists this non-coding RNA (77 nucleotides) under Marinosulfonomonas sp. PRT-SC04. RNAcentral describes it as "Glycine riboswitch aptamer". It matches the Rfam family "Glycine riboswitch aptamer". From Rfam's summary of the family: This family represents the bacterial glycine riboswitch. Lineage: Bacteria; Pseudomonadati; Pseudomonadota; Alphaproteobacteria; Rhodobacterales; Paracoccaceae. The record is from Rfam by way of RNAcentral. RNAcentral also lists the same sequence under 1 other name.
CGAACACUCUGGAGAGAGGUGCAUCAUGCAUCCGCCGAAGGGAUAGCGAUCUCAGGCAAAUGGACAGAGGGGGCAUC